UGAGGAAUCUUGCGCAAUGGGGGAAACCCUGACGCAGCCACGCCGCGUGAAGGAAGACGCUCCUAUGGGGUGUAAACUUCUUUUCUGCAGGAAGAACGCCCUCUUUGAGAGGGGAUGACGGUACUGCAGGAAUAAGGACCGGCUAACUCCGUGCCAGCAGCCGCGGUAAUACGGAGGGUCCAAGCGUUGUCCGGAAUUAUUGGGGUGUAAAGGGUGUGUAGGCGGGAUUGUAAGUCAGAGGUGAAAGGCAGCGGCUCAACCGUUGGAAUGCCUUUGAUACUGCAGUCCUUGAGUUCCGGAGAGGCCAUUAGAAUUCGUGGUGUAGCGGUGAAAUGCGUAGAUAUCACGAGGAAUACCAGAAGCGUAGGCGAAUGGCUGGACGGUGACUGACGCUGAGGCACGAAAGCGUGGGGAGCGAACAGGAUUAGGAUACCCGUGGUAGUCCACGCU
Molecule: ribosomal RNA, 450 nt
Filed under: uncultured Bacteroidota bacterium
Lineage: Bacteria; Pseudomonadati; Bacteroidota
Description: bacterial SSU rRNA
Rfam family: Bacterial small subunit ribosomal RNA
Source: RNAcentral